This 3025-nucleotide long non-coding RNA is filed under the name Dasypus novemcinctus (nine-banded armadillo). RNAcentral's name for it is "lncRNA (ENSDNOG00000052567.1)". The stretch from base 994 to 1065 matches the Rfam family "tRNA". The record is from RNAcentral. Lineage: Eukaryota; Metazoa; Chordata; Mammalia; Cingulata; Dasypodidae.
GGUGAAGGAAAUGCAGGUGAAUUCUGCCCAUGUGCAGAGGACUGCCAGGUUGAGGCAGGCUGGGGUUGUUAGAGCAAGUGCAAGCUCAAAUAAGAAAGAGCUGUGGCUUUUAUUCAGAGCUCGGCAGAAUUCCUGUAGCUCUUUAGUUACAUUCUCUGUGUCCUGAAGUCUUCCACCAUUCAAGGCCAUGGGCAAAAUUUUAGUGCUAUGAGAGAUUAUAUAAAGCCAGAUGAUAUUUUCUGAGAUUUCUCUGCAGCCUCCCAGAGUGAAGACAAUAGUAAAAGGCAAGGAUGUGAUAACAUUGGGUUUGAUGCCACCUCUUCUCAUUGUUUUCUCCUAGCUCAGAUGUCACCUUCUCAGAAAGGUCCUCCUGGAUUUCCCUGUCUAAGGUGUGCCCAAAUUCCAUGGCUCUCAUCUCUCACCAGCCCAGCACAUUACCUGGUUUUCUCUCCUUUCUCUUUUCACAGCACUUGUCACUGUUUGACAUUAUCUCCCUCACUAGGACGAAAGUUCCGCGAAUGAUGAGACAUGGACUGUCUCAGUCACCUCUGUAUGCCCUGGACGAAGGAAUGGUGCUGACACAGAGGCUGCGAAAGAGUUUACCUCCUAAAGGAGAGCUGAAAAUGAUAUGCCCAUUUCACGCUUUGCCGGACUUCACUUAAGCUAGGAGUGGCUAUGUGACCUACUUCUAGGAAGAAGAGAAAGUCUGCUAGAUGGCUUCUUAGAAAGAUUUUUCUCCUUUCUAAAAGGAGAGGGGCACAUGGGAGAGUUUGCUCAUCUGUUCCUGCUCUCUGUGGUUGUCAUGUGAAGUAAAGUGAUGCUUGCAGCUGCUUGAGUCAUCCUGGGACAGUGGAAAUAAACACUGCCAACAAUCUGAAGAUAGGAGAGGAGAAAGAAGAGUAUUUGAACGCUUAAUGAUGCUGUUAACUAGUGAAACCAACUUUGGGGAGACCAUCUUUGGGAUUUCUUACAUAAGAAAUCAUUACUCGGGAAGCAGACUUGGCCCAGUGGAUAGGGCAUCCGUCUACCACAUGGGAAGUCCGUGGUUCAAACCCCGGGCCUCCUUGACCCGUGUGGAGCUGGCCCAUGUGCAGUGCUGAUGUGCACAAGGAGUGCCGUGCCAUGCAGGGGUGUCCCCCGCGUAGGGGAGCCCCACACGCAAGGAGUGCGCCCGUAAGGAGAAGCAGCCCAGCGUGAAAGUGCAGCCUGCCCAAGAAUGGCACCACACACAUGGAGAGCUGACGCAGCAAGAUAAUGCAACAAAAAAAGACACAGAUUCCCAUGCCGAUGACAACAACAGUAGCGGACAAAGAAGAACACGCAGCAAAUGGACACAGAGAACAGACAACUGGGGCGGGGGGGGGGAGGGGAGGGGAGAGAAAUAAAUAAAUAAAUAAAUAAAUAAAUAAAUAAAUAAAUCUUUUAAAAAAAAUAGAAUGCCUGAACGUUCCUGUCACAGUGUUACAGAUAAAAGUGUUAAAAAAAAUUACUGUCUAAAUCAUUUUAAUUCUGUUACUUGCAGUCAAAAGCAUUUUAAUUGAAAAAUAUUAUUAGACUGUUGAAGGAAUUCAGAUAUCUUCCUGGUGGUUUAGAAACAGAACCAUGCUAUGUGUGGGACUUGGAAAUAGCAUUCAGGGGGCCAUGCUGGCUGGCCCCCAAACUCUCUCAAGAUAUUGCUUUAUCAUUCUGCUUUCUAGAGACAAUUUCUAAAUAUGUGCUUGAAAGCUGCUUUCCCCAGAGUCUCUUACAUUCUUUAUAAUCACUUUCUUGGGGGCUCCAUUGAUUAGAACAGAAGCUGGUAGGAAGUAUCAACUGCAAUUCUCUAUCAGGUAUUCCAGCUGAUGUAUUUACUAAACGUUUUGCAGGCUCUAUCUAAGCCUGAGUUCCCUUCUCAAAAUAGGGUAAUAGUUCUUUCCUCAUAAGGAAGUUGGCAGAAAUAAGUGAAAUAAAUAUAUCUAUAUUACUUCUCCAGAACUUGGCAUAUAAAUGCUUGGCACUCGAUAAAUCCUAACAAAAUAAUAUAUUAUAUAAUAGUGUUGCCAGGUAUUGUUCAAAAUGAUGACGUUCUACUGAUGAACAGAAUAGAUUCAAUCACUGCCCUUUUAUAGGGUUUACACUCUAGUACUGGAGAGUCACCUGGGGGGCUUUUUAAAAGUAGAUAUAACAUGGAGGUGAAGAAGGUCAACCACCACACCAGGGAGCCAAGAGUGCCUACAACUGAAAGCAGGAGAAUUGCAUCCAGCAUCCACGUGGAAUCUAAGCCCCCUCUUAAUAUAGAUGUGGAGUGGACACAACCAUUCUAAGGUCCACAGGAUGGAGGAAUAGAGUAUGGGUUAGAGUGAACUUACUGAUAUUCUAUUCCUGAACUAUUGUGAUUAGUAAUCAAAGAAAAAGUGGCAUUGGUGUGGAGAAAGUGGCCAUGGUGGCUGCUGGGGGUAGGGAGUGGGAGGAAGAGAUGUGAUGUGGGGGCAUUUUCGGGGGUUGGAGUUGUCCUGGGUGGUGCUGCAGGGACAGUUACUGGACAUUGUAUGUCCUUCCAUGGCCCACUGAGUGAACUGUGGGAGAGUGUGGGCUAUGAUGUGGACCAUUGACCAUGAGAUGCAGCGGUGCUCAGAGAUGUAUUUCCCAAAUGCAAUGAAUGUCUCAUGAUGAUGGAGGAGGUUUUUGUUAUGGGGGGAGGAGUAGGGUGAAGGGGGUGGGGGGAUAUGGGGACCUCAUAUUUUUUUAAUGUAACAUGUAACAUUAAGAAAAUAAAGACAAAUAAAAAAGAACACACAAACACACACAAAGUAGCUGUAUAAUUAAAGAGUUCUAGAUUGGGACCCUGAAUCUAUUAUUUUUUUUUAAACUUCCAGAUAAUUCCAACAGAUACCCAGGCCUGAGAACCUCUGUAACACAAUACAAUAAGAAAUACAUAAGGGAAAGUCCAGCUUACGAUAUUACAGGACAUACGGGGGAGAAAGGUUGGGUAGGAAGUAACUCCCACAUUGAAACCAAGAGAUAUGGAGUUAGUGAACUAAAGAAU